AAGAAAGUAAAUAAGGGCGCAUGGCGGAUGCCUUGGCUCUCGGAGGCGAUGAAGGACGUGAUAAGCUGCGAUAAGCUUCGGGUAGGUGCAAAUGACCUUUGAUCCGAAGAUUUCCGAAUGGGACAACCCGGCAUUCUGAAGGAAUGUCAUCCAACUUUGUUGGAGGCUAACGCAGGGAACUGAAACAUCUUAGUACCUGCA
This 201-nucleotide ribosomal RNA is filed under the name Bacteroides fragilis. Its description in RNAcentral is "partial 23S ribosomal RNA". It matches the Rfam family "Bacterial large subunit ribosomal RNA", at positions 1 to 214 of the family's 2925-position model. The record is from RNAcentral. Lineage: Bacteria; Pseudomonadati; Bacteroidota; Bacteroidia; Bacteroidales; Bacteroidaceae.